Molecule: ribosomal RNA, 333 nt
Filed under: uncultured bacterium
Lineage: Bacteria
Description: bacterial SSU rRNA
Rfam family: Bacterial small subunit ribosomal RNA
Source: RNAcentral
GAGACAGGUGGUGCAUGGUUGUCGUCAGCUCGUGUCGUGAGAUGUUGGGUUAAGUCCCGCAACGAGCGCAACCCUUAUCUUUAGUAGCCAGCAGUAAGAUGGGCACUCUAGGGAGACUGCCAGGGACAACCUGGAGGAAGGUGGGGAUGACGUCAAAUCAUCAUGCCCCUUAUGAUUUGGGCUACACACGUGCUAAAUGGCGUAAACAAAGGGAAGCGAGCCUGUGAGGGKGAGCAAAUCUCAAAAAUAACGUCUCAGUUCGGAUUGUAGUCUGCAACUCGACUACAUGAAGCUGGAAUCGCUAGUAAUCGCGAAUCAGAAUGUCGCGGUAAA